GCUUUCUUCCUUCCUUCCUGGGAUCUCUUCUAUAAUGAAUAAAACGCCCCUGUGGCCGUAGGGAUCCAACCCACUACCACCAUGUUUGCUUUUACAGCUUACUUAGCGUCCCUGUGAGCUUUAUUACCAUAACCAUAUGCUACCAUGUUACUGGUUUUCAGCUCUUGCUCUGUUUCUUCCAAUUCAGUAAAUCUCUUUUCUUGUUAUAAAUGCAUUAUUUCACCCUUUGUUUUUCACCGUCACCAACUGUUUGAUAAAAUUCCUCAACCAUUUAAAAGUUAGAGAACCUACCAUAACAAGAAGCCUUUCCUUUUUCGUGGUGUUCUUUUUGGACAUUUUGAACCCUUAAAUGCGAUAAUUGCUUCUCUUACUUUUAUUGCCUUCCAAUGUUAUCGUUGAACAUGUAGCGGUUCAAAGAAUUGCUUUUUACAUACCCUUGUGAUUGGAAAGAGUUUGCUGGGUGGUGGCUGUACUUCAGCUACAUGUCUCACUUGUGGUUUCGAUCUCUUUCAGCCCAAAAGAGGCAUUUUUGUGCAGGAAUCUUAUGCAAAAGCAACAUUGGCUGCUCACUGUCGAAGAGAGUAAAUUACUCUAUCCCAACAUUCCACAGGGAGUGUAACCCUGUAAAUUCAUUGAAAUUGUCUGCUCAGUUCAACACUCCCUUAAGAUCGCUGCUAAAUAAUGCUAGUGCUAUAAAAGAUGAUAGAAUUGUCCCACCAAGCAGGAACUUUUGUCAGUUAAUUGCAAGAUGGCAACUUCCUUUGGCAUUUUCUUCAGCAGCUCGAAAUGAAAUGUCAGAUUUGGAUUCUGGUUUGGAUGAUGAUGUAAUGUGUAGUGAUUUGCAGCACGCUGAUUUAGAUUCUGGGGAUAUUGGUAUUACAAAGAAAGAAAAGGUCGUGUAUGAAAAACCAAUUGACUUUACCAAAGUUGACAUUAAUUUGCUUCCAACUGUCAUUAUUGUCGGGCGUCCAAAUGUGGGAAAAUCAGCCCUGUUCAACCGGUUGAUUCGAAGGAGGGAGGCUCUUGUGUACAAUACACCAGAUGAUCAUGUUACUCGAGACAUAAGAGAAGGAAUUGCUAAAUUGGGUGAUCUGAGGUUUCGAGUUUUGGACUCAGCUGGCCUUGAAACAGAAGCAACUUCAGGGUCUAUCCUUCAGAGAACGACGAACAUGACUGCAAAUGUGCUAGCAAAGAUUCAAUUUGUAGUACUCCUGAUAGAUGUGAGAGCUGGACUACACCCUUUGGAUUUGGAGGUUGGAAAGUGGUUGCGAAGAAAUGCACCUGGAGUCACUCCUAUAGUUGCAAUGAAUAAAUCUGAAUCACUUUGUGAUGGUACUGGUUCUAUUACGGAUGCUGCUGAUGAAGCACGUAUGCUAGGAUUUGGAGAUCCUAUUGCCAUAUCUGCUGAGACAGGGCUGGGUAUGACAGCACUUUAUGAUUCUCUUCGGCCUUUGCUUGAGGAUUAUAUGCUCAAAGUCCUGAACAGUAAUUGUAAUCAACCAAAUAGCAAUUGUGAUAGCCAUGAUGACAACCAUGGUGAGGUUGAGGAGUUGUCUAAGUUGCCACUGCAGUUAGCUAUUGUAGGGCGGCCCAAUGUUGGAAAGUCAACCUUGCUGAAUACAUUGUUACAAGAAGAACGUGUGCUGGUGGGUCCAGAGGUUGGUUUGACCAGAGAUUCUAUUAGAGCUCAUUUCCAUUUUCAAGGGAGAACCAUAUAUCUGGUUGACACUGCAGGUUGGUUGCACAGGACAGGUCAGGAUAAAGGACCAUCAUCAUUGAGCAUAGUGCAAUCAAGAAAGAAUCUGAUGAGGGCUCAUGUAGUUGCUUUGGUACUUGAUGCAGAAGAGAUUGCAAAAGCUAGACGUAGUAUGACUCAUGCUGAAGUGGUUAUAGCAAGAAGGGCUGUGGAAGAAGGACGUGGAUUGGUUGUUAUUGUGAACAAGAUGGAUCUUCUAAGAGGGAAACAAAAUUCAAAGUUAUAUCAGAAGUUCAUUGAAGCUGUUCCUUUAGAAAUUCAGACAGUCAUACCGCAGGUUUCAGGAAUACCAGUUGUAUUUAUUUCAGCAUUAGAGGGCAGAGGCAGGAUAGCUGUCAUGCGUCAGGUCAUCGAUACAUAUGAAAAAUGGUGCUUAAGAUUACCCACAGCUCGGCUGAACAGAUGGUUGCGCAAGGUUAUGAGCAGACACUCUUGGAAAGACCAGGCUGCACAACCCAAGAUCAAGUACUUCACCCAGGUGAAGGCCCGUCCACCAACUUUUGUUGCCUUCACAAGUGGGAAGACACAACUUUCAGAUACAGAUCUCCGGUUCUUAACGAAGUCAUUGAAGGAAGACUUUGACUUGGGUGGAAUUCCCAUCCGCAUCAUGCAGCGAUGUAUUCCUGGAAAAAUCGGGGGUAGUGGCAGCAAGAGCAAUCAAUCUGCAGUGAGGAUGGAGGAAAGAAUAUUUUCUGACAAGAGAACUACUGCUGCAUAACACAACGAUUUUAGCUUCUAUGUUCAUUUCGCAUUUUUUCCUCGAGUAAAAGCUUGGUCAGAUGUUGAGUGAUAAUUCUGUGGUGGUGGUUGCUAGGGUAGUCUUAGAUUUCUCAUUUAUAGCCAAAAGAUAUGUAUUAACAAGAUGUAAAUUAAGGAAUGCGUCUAACAUUGGGUUGCAAUAGAAGCAAUACAAAAUUUGUAGGACACAAAAGCUGCCUUUAUUUAUUUUUUGGUACUUUAGAAAUUCAUUCUUAAAAGGCUUCUUUUGAUGUAAAUCAAAUGAAUUCUCAGACAAUCAUGCAAGAUUUCCAUUUCCU
Molecule: unclassified non-coding RNA, 2793 nt
Filed under: Hevea brasiliensis (rubber tree)
Lineage: Eukaryota; Viridiplantae; Streptophyta; Magnoliopsida; Malpighiales; Euphorbiaceae
Source: RNAcentral